CAGCCCGCACGCCCCCGCCGCCAGCACCGCGGUCACCGCCAUUCCUAUGGCGAAGGCGGCGGGGACCAGCAGCGGGCUGAAGAAGAUGAAGAGCGGCGUCGCCACCGCCAGCCCCAAGAGGCUGGCGAUGAGCGAGAUGCCGGAGAGGAGGAGCAGCAUUGCACCAAGGGGAACGCCGGCGAGGAGAGCUAGGAGUUGGGAACCCGUGAGGGACAUCUCCGGGAUGAGGUUCAGAAUGCCGCUGCCACCUUCCCCGCCAUGGUGUUGUGGGGUGUGUGUUGUGGUUGCGUGGACUUGCACAUGCUGGGGUUGUUGUUGUUGUGAACGUACUUCAGCCAUUGUGAUGAUGCAGAGAAGAAGAAGAUGAUGAUGAAGCUUUUUUU
Molecule: long non-coding RNA, 383 nt
Filed under: Glycine max (soybean)
Lineage: Eukaryota; Viridiplantae; Streptophyta; Magnoliopsida; Fabales; Fabaceae
Description: long non-coding RNA (GMAX_LNC000934)
Source: RNAcentral